ACGAAGUCGCAAGACUUAGUGGCGGAAGGGUUAGUAAUACAUGGGUAACGUACUUUUAACACUGGGAUAACGAUUGGAAACGAUCGCUAAUACCGGAUGUGGUGGCAGAAGGCAUCUUCUGUUUAUUAAAUGUGGGGGAUCGUAAGACCUUGCGGUUAAAGAGCGGCCCAUGGGAUAUCAGCUAGUUGGUGAGGUAAAGGCUCACCAAGG
This 210-nucleotide ribosomal RNA is filed under the name uncultured Chlamydiales CRG97. Its description in RNAcentral is "partial 16S ribosomal RNA". It matches the Rfam family "Bacterial small subunit ribosomal RNA", at positions 66 to 273 of the family's 1533-position model. Lineage: Bacteria; Pseudomonadati; Chlamydiota; Chlamydiia; Chlamydiales. The record is from RNAcentral.